CAGCAGUUACCAUUGCUGCUGGGACAGCUGCAAUUGGUUAUCUAGCUUACAAAAGAUUUUAUGUUAAAGAUCAUCGAAAUAAAGCUAUGAUAAACCUUCACAUCCAGAAAGACAACCCCAAGAUAGUACAUGCUUUUGACAUGGAGGAUUUGGGAGAUAAAGCUGUGUACUGCCGUUGUUGGAGGUCCAAAAAGUUCCCAUUCUGUGAUGGGGCUCACACAAAACAUAACGAAGAGACUGGAGACAAUGUGGGCCCUCUGAUCAUCAAGAAAAAAGAAACUUAAAUGGACACUUUUGAUGCUGCAAAUCAGCUUGUCGUGAAGUUACCUGAUUGUUUAAUUAGAAUGACUACCACCUCUGUCUGAUUCACCUUCGCUGGAUUCUAAAUGUGGUAUAUUGCAAACUGCAGCUUUCACAUUUAUGGCAUUUGUCUUGUUGAAACAUCGUGGUGCACAUUUGUUUAAACAAAAAAAAAAAAAAAAAGGAAAAACCAACCUGCAUGGCCUGUGGGUUAUUUUGGUCUUGUAAGGAUCCAUUUCUUUAAAAUACUGACAUAUAGAGUUGUACCUUAUAUAGAAUAUAGUUGUAUCUUGAAGUCAACAUAUUAAAUUAUUCUCAAA
Molecule: long non-coding RNA, 620 nt
Filed under: Homo sapiens (human)
Lineage: Eukaryota; Metazoa; Chordata; Mammalia; Primates; Hominidae
Description: long non-coding RNA NONHSAT155528.1
Source: RNAcentral